AUUGAACGCUGGCGGCAUGCCUAACACAUGCAAGUCGAGCGGUUGAGGUAGCUUGCUACCGACGCAGCGGCGGACGGGUGAGUAAUACAUGGGAAUCUGCCUGGUAGUGGGGGACAACGUUUCGAAAGGAACGCUAAUACCGCAUACGCCCUACGGGGGAAAGGGGGGGAUCUUCGGACCUCUCGCUAUCAGAUGAGCCCAUGUCGGAUUAGCUUGUUGGUGAGGUAAAGGCUCACCAAGGCGACGAUCCGUAACUGGUCUGAGAGGAUGAUCAGUCACACGGGAACUGAGACACGGUCCAGACUCCUACGGGAGGCAGCAGUGGGAAUAUUGGACAGUGGGCGCAAGCCUGAUCCAGCCAUGCCGCGUGUGUGAAGAAGGCCUUAGGGUUGUAAAGCACUUUCAGUGGGGAGAAAUGUCAUUCACCUAAUACGUGAGUGAAUUGAUGUUACCCACAGAAGAAGCACCGGCUAACUCCGUGCCAGCAGCCGCCGCCG
RNAcentral lists this ribosomal RNA (497 nucleotides) under uncultured bacterium. RNAcentral describes it as "partial 16S ribosomal RNA". It matches the Rfam family "Bacterial small subunit ribosomal RNA", at positions 30 to 523 of the family's 1533-position model. The record is from RNAcentral.